This 681-nucleotide ribosomal RNA is filed under the name uncultured nitrite-oxidizing bacterium. RNAcentral's name for it is "bacterial SSU rRNA". It matches the Rfam family "Bacterial small subunit ribosomal RNA", at positions 21 to 696 of the family's 1533-position model. The record is from RNAcentral.
GGCUCAGGACGAACGCUGGCGGCGCGCCUAAUACAUGCAAGUCGAGCGAGAAGGUGUAGCAAUACACUUGUAAAGCGGCGAACGGGUGAGGAAUACAUGGGUAAUCUACCAUCGAGUGGGGAAUAACCAGCCGAAAGGUUGGCUAAUACCGCGUACGCCUCCGGAUCUUCGGGUUCGGAGGGAAAGCCACACUGUGAGUGCGGCGCUCUUUGAUGAGCUCAUGUCCUAUCAGCUUGUUGGUAGGGUAACGGCCUACCAAGGCUUUGACGGGUAGCUGGCCUGAGAGGACGAUCAGCCACACUGGCACUGCGACACGGGCCAGACUCCUACGGGAGGCAGCAGUAAGGAAUAUUGCGCAAUGGGCGAAAGCCUGACGCAGCGACGCCGCGUGGGGGAUGAAGGUUUUCGGAUUGUAAACCCCUUUCGGGAGGGAAGAUGGAGCGAGCAAUCGUUCGGACGGUACCUCCAGAAGCAGCCACGGCCAACUUCGUGCCAGCAGCCGCGGUAAUACGAAGGUGGCAAGCGUUGUUCGGAUUCACUGGGCGUACAGGGUGUGUAGGCGGUUUGGUAAGCCUUCUGUUAAAGCUUCGGGCCCAACCCGGAAAGCGCAGAGGGUACUGCCAGGCUAGAGGGUGGGAGAGGAGCGCGGAAUUCCCGGUGUAGCGGUGAAAUGCGUAGAGA